Homalodisca vitripennis (glassy-winged sharpshooter) is the source of this 757-nucleotide long non-coding RNA. RefSeq lists it as uncharacterized. The record is from RefSeq and is a predicted model, not a curated record. NCBI's taxonomy places the organism in Eukaryota, Metazoa, Arthropoda, Insecta, Hemiptera, Cicadellidae. The transcript is spliced from 2 exons.
AUUAAUAACGUGUUUCUAACAUAUUAAUUUGUCGUUUCUAGCAAAUCAAGAAACAGUAUAAAAAAAAUUUGCAGUAACCUAUUUCCGAGACGUAAAUUAGUGAGAUUGCUCUAGGGUGAAUCAUUGUUUUAUUUAACAAAGCAUACAGGCGUCUUCUGUAUGAAAACCAAUUUUUAAAUUUUCGACAUGUUGUCGUAGUGUCUUGAUAUAACGUGGAUUUAUAUGUGCAUUGCUGUCUCCCAGUGAGAGGUUACAGCAGUUAGUGAAAGUUAACCCACUCGUCAACUGAAAUAUGGCAUCCUUACUAAAUCUUCAAAUCCGAGUGUCCGCAGGAAGAACCUGAAGUUCCCCUUGGUAACUCUCCAAAUGAAAUUUCCCAUCAAAGCGACAGAAGCUCAGCCGUGGUGUCAGGGUCAUACAUCGGAGCAAGACCGAAAAUUUAUGCUGCUAACAUUGUCCGUAUUAACUUGAAGUAAAACUAAUCAGGAUUCCACUCUACUGAACAAUUUUUCGAAAGUAUUAGAUUUUAAAAUGGUGUUUUCAUUGUAACUAGGAAUAAUUAUUGUUAGUUAAGAAAUGGACCAAUCCUGCAGCUAAAUAUAUAGUUGUAUAAAUAAUAAGAAAAGAUAGUGUAGAUCUUUGCACUAGGAUAUGAAACGUUCAAUGUGUACUUACGUAAUGCUAUGGUUUGUAAAUAAUAUAAUAUCAGUUCCUUGUGUUUUGGCCAUCAAAAAUAUACAUGUUUUUGUUUUGGAAA